GACGAACGCUGGCGGUAUGCCUAAUACAUGCAAGUCGAACGCUGAAGCACUCUGCUUGCAGAGUGUGGAUGAGUGGCGAACGGGUGAGUAACACGUGGGGAACCUGCCCAUAAGAGGGGGAUAACAUCCGGAAACGGGUGCUAAUACCGCAUAGGUGAUCAUAGCGCAUGCUUAGAUCAUUAAAGAUGGCUUCGGCUAUCGCUUAUGGAUGGCCCCGCGGCGUAUUAGCUAGUUGGUGAGGUAAUGGCUCACCAAGGCUGUGAUACGUAGCCGACCUGAGAGGGUGAUCGGCCACACUGGAACUGAGACACGGUCCAGACUCCUACGGGAGGCAGCAGUAGGGAAUCUUCCACAAUGGACGCAAGUCUGACGGAGCAACGCCGCGUGAGUGAAGAAGGUUUUCGGAUCGUAAAACUCUGUUGUGAGGGAAGAACAAGUGCCACCUAACUACUGGCACCUUGACGGUACCUCACCAGAAAGCCACGGCUAACUACGUGCCAGCAGCCGCGGUAAUACGUAGGUGGCAAGCGUUGUCCGGAAUUAUUGGGCGUAAAGCGCGCGCAGGCGGUCCUUUAAGUCUGAUGUGAAAGCCCACGGCUCAACCGUGGAAGGUCAUUGGAAACUGGGGGACUUGAGUGCAGAAGAGGAAAGUGGAAUUCCACGUGUAGCGGUGAAAUGCGUAGAGAUGUGGAGGAACACCAGUGGCGAAGGCGACUUUCUGGUCUGUAACUGACGCUGAGGCGCGAAAGCGUGGGGAGCAAACAGGAUUAGAUACCCUGGUAGUCCACGCCGUAAACGAUGAGUGCUAAGUGUUGGAGGGUUUCCGCCCUUCAGUGCUGGAGCUAACGCAUUAAGCACUCCGCCUGGGGAGUACG
This 875-nucleotide ribosomal RNA is filed under the name uncultured Alkalibacterium sp. RNAcentral describes it as "bacterial SSU rRNA". It matches the Rfam family "Bacterial small subunit ribosomal RNA", at positions 28 to 884 of the family's 1533-position model. The record is from RNAcentral. Lineage: Bacteria; Bacillati; Bacillota; Bacilli; Lactobacillales; Carnobacteriaceae.